Molecule: long non-coding RNA, 1388 nt
Organism: Gasterosteus aculeatus aculeatus (three-spined stickleback)
Lineage: Eukaryota; Metazoa; Chordata; Actinopteri; Perciformes; Gasterosteidae
Source: Ensembl
CGAUAAGCUUCACUGUACGCGCUCAUUUAACUUCGUUAGUUCAGGAGAAGAUGACUGGGCUACGGCUAAAGCCAGCAGAAGCUACAUCGAACAAACUUCCCUUGUCUGCUUUGUGUUGCGGGUGCUGCUGCUGACUGUCCUGAAAUCCAUGCGUUGCAGCAAGAUGGGAGCGGAUGGAUUCGCCUCAGGGUCGAACGUGAAGCAGGAAUUCCGGCCAACUGCCAUGAAAUUCACACCUCUCAGAGAGAUGAGCGGGUGGAGCUGCCUCGCAAUCACAACUUGAAAAGCAAGGUAAAGACGGGAGGAAGUGUCUCCCAGCACAUCCAGGGAGCCAGCGUGGGGGUGAGAGUGAUGAGUUGCACUAAUCAGUUGGGGCGUUUGAUGCAGUGGCAUCGUUGCCCCGAUCCGACCCGACCUGAGGACACACUGUGUGCACAGGGGCCAUCUGACUCAACCCUCCCGCUCUUUAUAGCUGUGUGCAUUAUGAUGUCAUUGUGGGACUAUGUAGCCUAUAAUAGUUUUUGCCCACUGUUGCAUUGGAGGAGAGCAUCAUUACUUCUAUAAUUUGUUAGGAGGGAUUUUAAAAAGACAAGCGAAUCCUGAUUUCUCUUCAAAGACUUGUAGUUUCCAGAAUCUGUACUAAUACUGCCCGUCCUUUUCUUUUUUUAUGUCCACCAACCCGCAGUGGGAGGGUGUCAUGCUGUGGAUUUUCUCGGGCUUCUCCCUCCCAGAGUCCACCAUCAGCGCACUGACCUUGGAGGGCAGCGCCUUCAUUCCUGAAGGCAGACUAGAAAAACCCUUCCAGAUCCACAGCAGCAGCCCCUGGUACAGCUGCAGGACCCCCACCCGCUGCACAGGUGGCGUGUCCUUGAUGCCCGAGCGGCUGCAGUAUUGACCCGAUACGGGGAGGACGUUCCUGAUGGACGUGUCGGCCCAGAACCGCAUGGUGACCAGUGUGUUCCUUGGAAUAUCUCUCCUGCUGCAUUGUGGGCUUAUUGCUGGUGAGCAACACCAGGGAGGUCUCAUUCAUCCUGAAAUCUAUUUAAACUUUGCUGUCAUCUCCACAAAAGCGGCUUAAACGUGCACAAACCCUGUCGGGGGCCGUGUGUCGGUCUAAUGGGAACUCUCUGUAUCCUAAUGUGGGCAAGUCCUCUCAGUAAUGGCCUUCUCGCCUCUGCUUCCUCCUAAAGAGAGCAGCAUCAUCAUCAUCAGAGGCCACAGCUCAUCUUAAAUAUCUCCACGGUCAUUGAAUAAACCUUUAAAAUCAGUUUUGUGUCAUGUGUUUAUUAAUGGAUUCAAUAAGAGGGUGAGUCCUCCCUGUGAGAACGACCAUCGUUUUAUUUGCUUUAGUCAACAUUUUGAAUGCUAUUAGCUGUGUUGAAGGCUGG